Molecule: ribosomal RNA, 220 nt
Filed under: uncultured bacterium
Lineage: Bacteria
Description: partial 16S ribosomal RNA
Rfam family: Bacterial small subunit ribosomal RNA
Source: RNAcentral
UACGGAGGGGGCUAGCGUUGUUCGGAAUUACUGGGCGUAAAGCGCGCGUAGGCGGAUCUGCAAGUCGGGGGUGAAAUCCCGAGGCUCAACCUCGGAACUGCCUUCGAUACUGCGGGUCUCGAGUCCGGGAGAGGUGAGUGGAAUUCCUAGUGUAGAGGUAGAAAUUCGUAGAUAUAGGAAGAACACCAGUGGCGAAGGCGGCUCACUGGCCCCGGUACUG